CUUCUUCCUCUUCUUCUUCAUCCAGCUAACCAUCUCUCUCCCUCUCUCACGCACGUUGGGAACGACGUGACUUUUUAUCGAAGACAUGCUCGAAAUCCCCCUCUUUCUCUCCUUCAGCCGACGCCACCACCCAACAUCCCUUCCACCGUUGAACUCGACAGUGAAUCCCAGUCACCGUGCGCAAUAGCUCGCUGGAAAUCAAGUUCAUCGUGGUUUGUCUCCAUUCUUCGUUCAGAUUCAACUUCUAGAGAAAUCAAGGCCAAGGGACAUUUCAUGGCUAUGGGCUGAAGCUUUGAGAAAAAGAGGAUGAAAAAUGAAAUGUGAAAUUUUAAACUUUGAUGAUGUGUAGAGUCUUUUUUUUUUAUGUCUAUGCAUUUUCCAAGUGAAUUUGAGUACUUUUGAUUUUUCAAUUGGUCGUUUGUUUAGGGUUGCUAUUGAGUUAUAUCAUAAUUGUAUGAUAGUUAUAGCAUAAACAAACUAUAUAUAUAAACUUGAACAUAAGUACUUGUUAUCUAACUCAUUACUAAAUUGUUGUAAUUUGGUUACUCUUGUUUUACUA
This is a long non-coding RNA of Cucumis sativus (cucumber), 559 nucleotides long. RefSeq lists it as uncharacterized. The record is from RefSeq and is a predicted model, not a curated record. The transcript has 2 exons. NCBI's taxonomy places the organism in Eukaryota, Viridiplantae, Streptophyta, Magnoliopsida, Cucurbitales, Cucurbitaceae.